This 498-nucleotide ribosomal RNA is filed under the name uncultured bacterium. Its description in RNAcentral is "partial 16S ribosomal RNA". It matches the Rfam family "Bacterial small subunit ribosomal RNA", at positions 899 to 1397 of the family's 1533-position model. The record is from RNAcentral.
ACUCAAAGGAAUAGACGGGGGCCCGCACAAGCGGUGGAGCAUGUGGUUUAAUUCGACGCAACGCGAAGAACCUUACCCAGACUUGACAUGCACUGGACCGGUGUGGAAACACACCUUCCCUUCGGGGCCCGUGCACAGGUGCUGCAUGGCUGUCGUCAGCUCGUGUCGUGAGAUGUUGGGUUAAGUCCCGCAACGAGCGCAACCCUUGUCCUUAGUUGCUAACGGGUAGAGCUGAGCACUCUAAGGAGACUGCCGGUGAUAAACCGGAGGAAGGUGGGGAUGACGUCAAGUCCUCAUGGCCCUUACGUCUGGGGCUACACACGUGCUACAAUGGCCGGCACAAAGGGUUCCGAUACCGCGAGGUGGAGGCAAUCCCAAAAAACCGGUCUCAGUUCGGAUUGCAGUCUGCAACUCGACUGCAUGAAGUCGGAAUCGCUAGUAAUCGCUGAUCAGCAGGCAGCGGUGAAUACGUUCCCGGGCCUUGCACACACCGCCCGU